Molecule: long non-coding RNA, 842 nt
Filed under: Solanum tuberosum (potato)
Lineage: Eukaryota; Viridiplantae; Streptophyta; Magnoliopsida; Solanales; Solanaceae
Description: long non-coding RNA (STUB_LNC000858)
Source: RNAcentral
AGCGUCCUUUGAACUAUUUAUUGAGAAAUGGUUUAGAAUUUCUGGAAUUUUUUUCGAUGAGAAGGGAAUCGAUUCAACAAAUUGUCUAGGCCAAAUGGGUGCUUCGUUUUUAUUUUUUAGAGAGGGAAAAUUGAUGAUGUUUCCUUUUUCCAAGUCGUUUUCUAAGAAGUAAGGUUUGUAAAGGAAAUUGUUAUCUUGAAAAUCACUAUCAAUACUUUCUUGAAUUACUUGUCGAAGAUGUGCAUUUGGGGUUUCCCUUUUUAGGUUAUGAAUCUCUUCAUCAGUAGCAGCACUAAAAACCCAAAUUCCAUGUUGGUGCAAACCAUAAUAUACUUUCUCCUUUGUGUCACCAACGUCAUUCUCUGUGGCAACACAAUAACAAUUAUUUCAUACAUAAAAUAGUAUGAUUAAUUUUCUAUUUAAAUGGACUGACCUUCAGUUUUUAUGAAUAAGUGUUUAAUUAAUGCCCCUCGCAACUGAAUUUAUAUUUAGUGGGGCAUAAGUUCUUUUAAGAAAUUGAAAAGCCAUGUGAACAAUAAUAUGAAUUUAUACAUCAUAAAAAUUUAUUUAUUACAAGUAAAAAUUAAAAACCAACACCAAAUAGAGGAAAAAGUGCAAGUGAUCACCCUAAUGAUUUUUCUCCAAAUAAUUGAAUAAUGGAGGAAAAAGUGCUAGUUACCCUAAUGAUUUUUCUCCAAAUGGUUGAAUAAUGACCAAAUUAAGUUGGCUUCAAAAAUAGUUUAUGUAAGAAAAAGAGUAAUUUGAUGGAUAACAAAAUGGACAAUCAUCUAGCCAAAGUUCAUCUGGCUGAAAUAAUUAUUUUUUCAGAUCCAAUCGAUAUG